Cavia porcellus (domestic guinea pig) is the source of this 3139-nucleotide long non-coding RNA. RefSeq lists it as uncharacterized. The transcript is spliced from 2 exons. Lineage: Eukaryota; Metazoa; Chordata; Mammalia; Rodentia; Caviidae. The record is from RefSeq and is a predicted model, not a curated record.
GGUUCCCGACCCUUGCUGAGCCUCCCCGCCCCACAUCCUUUCUCUCAGCUGGCCCUGACAGCCUCUGUGAAAGCUGCACAGCCUCACACGUACACCUCCUACAGCUGGGGAUCCGGCUGUCAUGUCAGAGCCCUCCCCCCCAACUGUAAAUUCCUAAAGUCUUCUUCCUGCCUCGCCUGCCUCAGUACAGUACCCGAGCCCAGCGGGACUCCAGGAAACUGGCGCGCAUCACUUCACCGGCCUUUGAUCCGCAUGAGACCCAGGCUUGGCCCCUCCUCUCCCAGCACUGAUUUCCUUUCAAUAAACAUCAACUCCACUAACCCCAUUCACCAAGAAAAACAUCUUUUUGUUCAAAAUAGGUCAUAUUUAUUUUCAUAGCUUUACAAUCUCCCUGUAAAGACGAGGGCCAGACUGGGUCAUUCCUACCAAAGCAGAUGGAAUUCUUCUCAAACAAUUUACAAUAAAAUUAAGCUGGCACUGAUAGCCAACGUGAAUGAAUUGGAGGAAAUGGAGCAAAGUUCAGAGAGAAAGGCGUAUCCACCUCGAUCCAGGGCCUCCCCUGAGGACCAGACCUUGUGGUCAACUGACACUAAUUAAACUCCAGCAGUCUGCACAGCACUUGCUGGGUGGUGGGCAGACUCUGCCCUGCAGCAACUUACUCCCUGAGGAUGUGAGACCCACAUGCAUUUAAAGAUGGUGUCGUGUCACAGUGAACCGGAAGAGGCCAUCAAACUGCAAAACUCUGAGUUGGUGAGUCCAGGCUGGCUUCCUGGAGAAGAAGGAAGAAUUCAUCUCGACCAUGUUUAGGAGCUGGAGAGCCUGCUGCAAACCCCAGUCCUCGCUCUCACAAGCCCCACAAAGAGGCAAUGCACUCAAGCCCUUGUGGUCCUGGUCUAUUUGUCUGAGACCACCCCCGGGGUUGGGGGUGGAUUCUGCUUCACUGGGUCGUGGUGGAGGCUCGACGACUUCACACAGUGAAGCUGAGGCCUGCGUCUGGCACAGGAGAAGCUCUCAGCACCAUCGGCUUUCACCACCACCAGCAUCCCCAUCACCAUCAGUACUGGGAUUACUAUGCUAAUUAAUAAAGAUUUUUUUUUCUCUACUUAGGAGAAAGAAAACAGAAUAACAACAAGAAUGGCCGCUGUGACAUUUCGUGUCCAUUUUUAUCCUUAGAACAUAAAAGCACAAGCAGCCAUGAAGGAAUCCAAGUUUAGAUCCAGAUGGAUACUGCACUGCCUCUCAGGUGCCCAAGGACACAGCUCCGUAGGGAAACACACAGGAAAGGCGGCACGGUGCCAUCAGCACCCGUUAACACGACUCGAGCUUGCGGUGCCAGGUACUAUGACUCCUCCAUUUCGUUUCUGCAGAAAGGCUCUGAGGUUGAUAAAAUCAUCCGUGUUUCACAGAUGGCACCACGCCAAGGCUCUCCUCUAAUACGCUGCCUUCUGGAAAUGCGAGGACGGAGGCCACUGCCUGCAAACACCUCACACUGGGGCUGGGCAAAAAUAGAACUGGAAGCACAUUCACAGGAAGAGGGAACACAUAAUCAGGGUCAUCCGAAUGAAACAUUAGACACACAGCGGGGUUGCUCAGGAAACUAGGGAUGGAAUGGGAAAAUGUCAGAGGAGACUCAUUUUGAACAUUAUUUAAAGGAGAAAAUUGCACUGCGCUGUGAGAAAAAUAGAAGGCUCUCUGUGCAAACAUCUCCUGAGCUGAGUUCUGUGCCUAACUUGAACACUUUACAUUAGGGAAAAAACAAAUCCCAUGAGGUUAGUGUUGUUACUAUUCAAAUGCCAGAACCAAAACUCAGAGAGGUUUGUGAAUGGGACCAAGAUGGACUCGGGGAGCCAGGCACAGAGCCAGGGAGAUCCCCUGACUUCAGGGCAACGGAGAGAGUAAACAUGUCAGGCAGAAUAGAAAGAAAAGUGCUCAAGUAGGAAACGACAGAUUCCAGGAUGAUUUUUUUAAAGUCAUCUAUAAUCCACAAAACUUGGACCAGCUGUGUGGACUGGAUGAUGCCAAGUUCUUUGUGCACAGAAACUGAACCAUGGUUACCCUGGAUGCUAACACUGGGGGAGGUGGGGCACGGGACCACCCCAUGCAUUACUCAGCAACUAUCUAGAAAUCUACACACAUUUUAAAGCUGCAUAUAACACAGGCAGGGCUGCUUCCUUUAAGGAGAGGGGGUGGCUGGCAGAGGCCUGGACUCGCCCCCGAGCUGCAUGGGGACACAGCCCUUGCUCAGCGGAGCCAGAGCCUCACCCACCUGCCCUGAGUGACCGAGCAGCCCUGCACUGGGGCAGCCGCACUGGAGGGAGGAACACGACCUGCCAACACUUAGGCUGAGCCUUACGAUGGUUUCCCACAGUGCCAAGGGCCACCUGAGUACACCAAGGGUCACAAGACCCAGCUCACAGCUCUCUAGUUAGACGGAAAGGCACAACCAAUACAUAAAACACCAAGUCUGAGGGUGCUGAUGAUUCUCCCAGGAUAGUUCUCGUGUCAGACUCCAGUAGGCCAGGCUCCCAACAGGGCCUCCGCAGGGAAGCAGGAUUUGGGCAGGACCUUGAAAGAUGUGGGCAUGGCAGGCAGAGAGGGGGAAGGGAGGGAGGCCCGGGAAGAGACACCCUUGUGCAAAGGUCACAGCUGGCCUGGGUCUGCAGGUAACUGGUCCCUAGGUCUCAGUGUUGGGAACGCAUCCAGUCAAGUGUCAAAUAAUAUUCACAGACGGCCACUGCCAAAGAAUGACCUUCCAUAUUGUCCUCCAAAUAGGAAAUAUAUUGUAGGGGAGACACAGUUUUCUAUUCUACACCACAGAAAAACCUGCUUUCCAAUUCAGCGACACUGGGACUGCGACCUUGGGUCACCCAGCCCUCUGUCCGCCUCUCCGUCACGGAAGGCGAGCAGAGCAGCCAGCAGGGGCCAUGAAGCACACGACAGGCUCCACAAUGUGGGCUCACUGCCCCCUCUAUCCUAUUCUUCUGCAUUUUUUCUGCUGUUGAACUGUCAGGAUUAUCAUUCUGAAUGUGUGCUUAAAGUUCCAGGGAGAUGAUUCACAGCGAUUGCCGAAUCUUCUAUAGUCUUUGAUAUUUAUCUUGGUCACAUUUUCACACCAUUAAAAAUAAUGUUGGUAAGGGUA